This 556-nucleotide ribosomal RNA is filed under the name uncultured Alphaproteobacteria bacterium. RNAcentral describes it as "bacterial SSU rRNA". It matches the Rfam family "Bacterial small subunit ribosomal RNA", at positions 62 to 662 of the family's 1533-position model. The record is from RNAcentral. Lineage: Bacteria; Pseudomonadati; Pseudomonadota; Alphaproteobacteria.
UCGAACGGGUGUAGCAAUACAUCAGUGGCAGACGGGUGAGUAACACGUGGGAACCUUCCUAGGGGUACGGAACAACUCAGGGAAACUUGAGCUAAUACCGUAUACGUCCGUGAGGAGAAAGAUUUAUCGCCCUUAGACGGGCCCGCGUCGGAUUAGGUAGUUGGUGGGGUAACGGCCUACCAAGCCUACGAUCCGUAGCUGAUCUUAGAGGAUGAUCAGCCACACUGGGACUGAGACACGGCCCAGACUCCUACGGGAGGCAGCAGUGGGGAAUCUUGGACAAUGGGCGCAAGCCUGAUCCAGCCAUGCCGCGUGAGUGAAGAAGGCCUUAGGGUUGUAAAGCUCUUUUACCAGGGACGAUAAUGACGGUACCUGGAGAAUAAGCCCCGGCAAACUUCGUGCCAGCAGCCGCGGUAAUACGAAGGGGGCUAGCGUUGUUCGGAAUUACUGGGCGUAAAGCGCACGUAGGCGGGUCGUUAAGUCAGGGGUGAAAUCCCGGAGCUCAACUCCGGAACUGCCUUUGAUACUGGCGAUCUAGAGAUCGAGAGAGGUGAGU